RNAcentral lists this ribosomal RNA (253 nucleotides) under uncultured bacterium. RNAcentral's name for it is "partial 16S ribosomal RNA". It matches the Rfam family "Bacterial small subunit ribosomal RNA", at positions 524 to 776 of the family's 1533-position model. The record is from RNAcentral.
UACGUAGGGCGCAAGCGUUGUCCGGAAUUAUUGGGCGUAAAGAGCUCGUAGGCGGCCAGUUGCGUCUGCUGUGAAAUCCCGGGGCUCAACCCCGGGCGUGCAGUGGAUACGGGCUGGCUAGAGGCAGGCAGGGGAGAACGGAAUUCCCGGUGUAGCGGUGAAAUGCGCAGAUAUCAGGAGGAACACCGGUGGUGAAGGCGGGUCUCUGGGCCGAUAUUGACGCUGAGGAGCGAAAGCGUGGGGAGCGAACAGG